UAGGGAAUCUUCGGCAAUGGGGGCAACCCUGACCGAGCAACGCCGCGUGAGUGAAGAAGGUUUUCGGAUCGUAAAGCUCUGUUGUAAGAGAAGAACGUGUGUGAGAGUGGAAUGUUCACACAGUGACGGUAACUUACCAGAAAGGGACGGCUAACUACGUGCCAGCAGCCGCGGUAAUACGUAGGUCCCGAGCGUUGUCCGGAUUUAUUGGGCGUAAAGCGAGCGCAGGCGGUUUAAUAAGUCUGAAGUUAAAGGCAGUGGCUUAACCAUUGUUCGCUUUGGAAACUGUUAGCCUUGAGUGCCGAAGGGGAGAGUGGAAUUCCAUGUGUAGCGGUGAAAUGCGUAGAUAUAUGGAGGAACACCGGUGGCGAAAGCGGCUCUCUGGUCUGUAACUGACGCUGAGGCUCGAAAGCGUGGGGAGCAAACAGG
This 429-nucleotide ribosomal RNA is filed under the name bacterium. Its description in RNAcentral is "partial 16S ribosomal RNA". It matches the Rfam family "Bacterial small subunit ribosomal RNA", at positions 355 to 776 of the family's 1533-position model. The record is from RNAcentral.